This 219-nucleotide long non-coding RNA is filed under the name Homo sapiens (human). RNAcentral's name for it is "non-protein coding lnc-MERTK-2:2". The record is from RNAcentral. Lineage: Eukaryota; Metazoa; Chordata; Mammalia; Primates; Hominidae.
CACCUUCCGUGCGACUGAUGCGAACCCCGAAGCCGGACUCUGUCUGCUACAGUCCUGGCGUCCAAGUUCUCUUUAGCUCAUGUCACUAGGGACCUGAACUGCCUUAUAGAUCUCAGGGUUUUUUCUUCUGGUUUCGCUUCCGCCUCCUGACCCCACGUGGAGGAGCUACCGCCAGAAGAUGGCAGCAGCCGCCAAGUUGUCACUACUAGAGAAGUCCCU